Long non-coding RNA from Dromaius novaehollandiae (emu), 580 nucleotides. RefSeq lists it as uncharacterized. The transcript has 3 exons. The record is from RefSeq and is a predicted model, not a curated record. NCBI's taxonomy places the organism in Eukaryota, Metazoa, Chordata, Aves, Casuariiformes, Dromaiidae.
UAAUACUUGCUCUGUGCAUUCAAAAUUAUUUAAAAUUGUAAGGGAAAGAACAAAGCUUUAGUGAUAGUAGGACACUGCUGAUGAACUUAAAAAAGCAUUCUGCUCCUGAACAUGCCAAAUUCUGGAGCAAUGGGCAGCAGCCUCCCAAACUGGACAAAUGUCAGCAAAGGCCUCCAUGGAGAAAAAAACCUUGUGUUUAAGCUCUGGGAUGGAAGCUGUGGUCAGAGCACCUCCACUACAAGAGAACUCAUGAUAAGAAAGGGAACACUGUCUGCACAGGAAACAGGAGAUUUUCAGGCUUUGACCAGUGAGAGAGAAUGAAAUUACCUCUCCAAGAGCUGAGCUUACUGCUAUUCACAAUUAGUGUAGCAGUCACGGUGUGCCUUCCUGCUUACGUGCCAGCAGCUGCGGUGGGCCUCUCCUGCGGGACUGUCCUGCCUGCCUGCCAGCCAUCAGAAGACGUCUUCCUACCUAUCACAAGAUGCCACAAUGCCUAGGAGAUACUUGGAGGAGUGGCUGAGCUUGAUUGCUAUAUAACCAGCCAUUGUGUUUUCAAUAAAGGAUCUUUUGCACUACCCUA